RNAcentral lists this long non-coding RNA (330 nucleotides) under Vigna radiata. Its description in RNAcentral is "long non-coding RNA (VRAD_LNC000649)". Lineage: Eukaryota; Viridiplantae; Streptophyta; Magnoliopsida; Fabales; Fabaceae. The record is from RNAcentral.
CUCAUACCAUGUCUAGGUUGUUUUUCUGCACCCCACACUUGACUACUUGCUUUAUAGGUUGGACUUCUUUUACCUUUUGCACCUUCGUAUUCCAGUGUAUACACAACACUUUUGUUUAUUUUAUUUUUGGGUUCGCAUUCCAUUCUGUUUUCUGGACCCAAGCUUUCACUGCACACACCCCACUUUCCUUUAUUUUAUUUUGGAAUUGGGCGGCGCUGUCUACAUUCCUCCACCACGUGUAUACUUGUUUACACUCCGUCCCCAUUUAUUUCACUUUUAGCUUUUACUCAUGCACCGCAAUGUUUUUUAUUCCAUCUUUAUCCUUCUUUC